GUCUCCGUUCCGUGGCGCAAUCGGUUAGCACGUUGGCUGUUAACCGAAAGGUUGGUGGUUCAAGCCCACCCGGGGACG
Molecule: non-coding RNA, 78 nt
Organism: Desmophyllum pertusum
Lineage: Eukaryota; Metazoa; Cnidaria; Anthozoa; Scleractinia; Caryophylliidae
Source: the annotation of a GenBank genome assembly